UCAGUUGGGGCGUGGGCGUAGGGCACUCAGACCCCGGGCACCGCGAGGCCGGCUGGCACCGUUGGGUCACUUUAACUGACCCCAAAACUCACAAGGUGGUCGGGCGCUCCCAGGGGCCAACCCCAGAUCUCCCCGAUGGCGGUGGGCAAACACACCCCACCCAGGGGACCACUGCUGGGGCGAGAACAGAGAUGUCCAGGGCCUGGAAGGAGAAGGCCAGGACCCCGAGGGAAGAGAGGGCUCACCGCCCUGGUGCAGAUGAGCAGCCCCCCCGAUGUAUAAGGAGUUGAGGCCCCGGGGAUGCUGAGCUCUGCCGAAGUGCAAGGUCACCUUUCUGUUAAAGAGACAGACUCCCCCCGCCCCACCAGGGUCUCCACUCGGUCUCCUCUGCAUAGGCCUGAAGAGCAGCAGCGAUGCAAACCCCCGCAGAGGCUUUGAGAGAAGACCUCACUCUCACCGACACUGACGUCUCAGCUCUCCAUUAACCCUAUGUUCACCUCUGUGGUCAGCAGAUCAAGUCUGCCUUUCUGGAGGAUUCCCUCACCAGACCCAACUACAUCCAGGCUGACCAGCUGGCGAGCCGAUUCAAAUGCUAACUUCAGCUUAGCAGGGCGUUGCGCAAACAGCCCGGGACCUCUCCAGCCGGCUGCACCCAGCUCUGCCGCCGGAACAGCUGCGCCGAAAGGUUGGAGAAACCCGGACACAACGUGACCAAGCCCGCGGCACCAACCCCGGCAGCCCUAGAGGCACCCCGGAGACUCCCACACCUCCUCUGCCUGCCCUCCAAGUACCGGUAACCUUAGGGAACCGCCUGGGGCUCUGAGAGGUCGGUUCUAGGGUGCGCGCGGGCAGGUGCGCACGCUCUUUGCGGCAGUCUCGGCCCCGCCAGCGCCGGGA
Long non-coding RNA from Phyllostomus hastatus (greater spear-nosed bat), 897 nucleotides. RefSeq lists it as uncharacterized. The transcript is spliced from 4 exons. Lineage: Eukaryota; Metazoa; Chordata; Mammalia; Chiroptera; Phyllostomidae. The record is from RefSeq and is a predicted model, not a curated record.